CUACGUGCCAGCAGCCGCGGUAAUACGUAGGGUGCGAGCGUUAAUCGGAAUUACUGGGCGUAAAGCGAGCGCAGACGGUUACCUAAGCAGGAUGUGAAAUCCCCGGGCUCAACCUGGGAACUGCGUUCUGAACUGGGUGACUAGAGUGUGUCAGAGGGAGGUAGAAUUCCACGUGUAGCAGUGAAAUGCGUAGAGAUGUGGAGGAAUACCGAUGGCGAAGGCAGCCUCCUGGGAUAACACUGACGUUCAUGCUCGAAAGCGUGGGUAGCAAACAGGAUUAGAUACCCUGGUAGUCCACGCCCUAAACGAUGUCAAUUAGCUGUUGGGCAACUUGAUUGCUUAAUAGCGUAGCUAACGCGUGAAAUUGACCGCCUGGGGAGUACGGUCGCAAGAUUAAAACUCAAAGGAAUUGACGGGGACCCGCACAAGCGGUGGAUGAUGUGGAUUAAUUCGAUGCAACGCGAAGAACCUUACCUGGUCUUGACAU
RNAcentral lists this ribosomal RNA (487 nucleotides) under uncultured bacterium. RNAcentral describes it as "bacterial SSU rRNA". It matches the Rfam family "Bacterial small subunit ribosomal RNA", at positions 501 to 987 of the family's 1533-position model. The record is from RNAcentral.